UCUCCGUUGGUGAACCAGCGGAGGGAUCAUUACCGAGUUUACAAACUCCCAAACCCUUUGUGAACCUUACCGUAUCGUUGCUUCGGCGGGUCGGGCUGAUGCUUGGGAUGGCUACUCUGUAGCUACCCUGCAGAGGCCGCCGCCGGUGGGAAUUUAAACUAUUGCCAUGUAUUGUCAUCUGAGAGUCUUAUGAGAAUAAGUCAAAACCUUUAACAACGGAUCUCUUGGUUCUGGCAUCGAUGAAGAACGCAGC
Molecule: unclassified non-coding RNA, 253 nt
Filed under: uncultured fungus
Lineage: Eukaryota; Fungi
Description: sequence contains ITS1, 5.8S rRNA gene
Rfam family: 5.8S ribosomal RNA (bases 205-253)
Source: RNAcentral